RNAcentral lists this ribosomal RNA (448 nucleotides) under uncultured bacterium. Its description in RNAcentral is "bacterial SSU rRNA". It matches the Rfam family "Bacterial small subunit ribosomal RNA", at positions 29 to 524 of the family's 1533-position model. The record is from RNAcentral.
AACGAACGCUGGCGGCAGGCUUAACACAUGCAAGUCGAGCGCCCCGCAAGGGAGCGGCAGACGGGUGAGUAACGCGUGGGAAUCUACCCAGUUCUACGGAAUAACACAGGGAAACUUGUGCUAAUACCGUAUACGCCCUACGGGGGAAAGAUUUAUCGGAAUUGGAUGAGCCCGCGUUGGAUUAGCUAGUUGGUGGGGUAAUGGCCUACCAAGGCGACGAUCCAUAGCUGGUCUGAGAGGAUGAUCAGCCACACUGGGACUGAGACACGGCCCAGACUCCUACGGGAGGCAGCAGUGGGGAAUAUUGGACAAUGGGCGAAAGCCUGAUCCAGCCAUGCCGCGUGAGUGAUGAAGGCCCUAGGGUUGUAAAGACGUCUUUCAGUGGGGAAGAUAAUGACGGUACCACCGAAGAAGCCCGGCUAACUUCGUGCCGAGCAGCCGCGGUAAU